Molecule: ribosomal RNA, 519 nt
Filed under: Salmonella bongori serovar 40:z35:-
Lineage: Bacteria; Pseudomonadati; Pseudomonadota; Gammaproteobacteria; Enterobacterales; Enterobacteriaceae
Description: partial 23S ribosomal RNA
Rfam family: Bacterial large subunit ribosomal RNA
Source: RNAcentral
UCCUCCCAAAGAGUAACGGAGGAGCACGAAGGUUGGCUAAUCCUGGUCGGACAUCAGGAGGUUAGUGCAAUGGCAUAAGCCAGCUUGACUGCGAGCGUGACGGCGCGAGCAGGUGCGAAAGCAGGUCAUAGUGAUCCGGUGGUUCUGAAUGGAAGGGCCAUCGCUCAACGGAUAAAAGGUACUCCGGGGAUAACAGGCUGAUACCGCCCAAGAGUUCAUAUCGACGGCGGUGUUUGGCACCUCGAUGUCGGCUCAUCACAUCCUGGGGCUGAAGUAGGUCCCAAGGGUAUGGCUGUUCGCCAUUUAAAGUGGUACGCGAGCUGGGUUUAGAACGUCGUGAGACAGUUCGGUCCCUAUCUGCCGUGGGCGCUGGAAGAUUGAGGGGGGCUGCUCCUAGUACGAGAGGACCGGAGUGGACGCAUCACUGGUGUUCGGGUUGUCAUGCCAAUGGCACUGCCCGGUAGCUAAAUGCGGAAGAGAUAAGUGCUGAAAGCAUCUAAGCACGAAACUUGCCCCGAG